UGAUAUAUUCUGUUCAUAUCUUUCUCUCUCCAUAGUCAAAAAAACCCAUUGAACAAUGUUUCUAACCAUAUUGAGCAAACCCUAAACCAAAAAAAAUCCAAAAAUCUUCUGGCCACCCCUACUAGCCUAGGGGUAUCACACAUAUGUACUUUUUGACGAGUAUAGUGGCACCCAUCGUGGCUACCUAUAAACUUUAUCUAGGCCACACUUUGCAUUAUCAUCACCAUUAUGGCACUCACUAAAGCAUCCACCUGUGGUCUCAAC
RNAcentral lists this long non-coding RNA (264 nucleotides) under Lathyrus oleraceus (garden pea). RNAcentral describes it as "Pisum sativum (pea) long non-coding RNA (PSAT_LNC020748)". The record is from RNAcentral. Lineage: Eukaryota; Viridiplantae; Streptophyta; Magnoliopsida; Fabales; Fabaceae.